CCACUCAUAAACCCUCUUAUAAUUUCAUAUGUACUUACGUGGGGUUUAAUAUUAUUUAAAUUUUAGGCCGGAGUUCCACGAGAUCGGCGCCGGCUGGCUGGGGAACGAUCCCGUCGGCAUGAUGGAGCGACGGGCGUCGUCAAAACGAUACAAAAAUGUUUACAAGCACAACGCAAGGACAGACAGAUUUCUACACCAGCGCUCUUUGUGCGAUCCCCCAACCCACAGACUCUGGGAAACUCAAAUUACUCUCAUGAUAGACAAGGUGCUCCAAGCGAGUAUGCAAACAUUGGGUCAAAAUAUAGCCAAACAUUGGGUUGACUUUAUUUGGAAAACACUCGGUUCCGACACCCUUCUGAACAGCCAAAUCGUGGGAAGCGAUUUCUACCGAAAAUGACCGAAGUAAAACAUGACGUAAUGCUUGCAACAGCAUGCGGUUGCUGAUUGGUCAAAUGUUUGUCAGAGUAUUAUGGGUUGCCGGUUGCUUGCAGGACCCGGAAGUUCCCAAGGAUAGGGACUCAGAACUUUUUUUCCAAUCGUCCCGAAACGUAACCAAAUCUACUUUCAUUUCGACAUCGGGACAGUGGUAACGAACACCUAAUUUCUUAUUUCCUGCGAAACACCUUCGCUCUCACUGCGCUCAGACAGGCAAAGAUGCUUAUCUAACGUAUACUAAGUAGCCUCCUUGGACAGGCGAAAAAGUAGGUCAAUGGCUUGAACUUUUCACCCUUUUCACCCGAUCUGUUUGCUGUGUCAGGGAACAGUUUUCUCAUCUCAAUAUUACAAUUAAAAUAGUUAAUGACAUUAUGUAUUCACCAAUGAUGGUCCCAGACUAUAGAACGCCCCUUAGCAACAAUGUCAAAAUGUUGAUAGAUGUAAGUUCCGACUUUAAAACGACCCAACUGGCGGCUGGAGUUUCAGUACGGGGCUGCGGAACACCAGUUGCUACAACCCUCCGCGGCCCCACAGCUUUUGGUUCCCGCAGGAGCGCGCCGGGCACUUCCCACCGGCCGGAGCGCCGGGCACGAUCUCCACUGGCCGGCGGCGCAGCACCGAGGAAUUUACCGGGGAGCUCCGCUGGUAUGGUCACCAGACUAGACAGGGGAAGCCCGCCGCGGCAGCCGGCUUGGUCAGCGUGGAUUUGUACUUGGAACAAAAUAGGCAAGGUCUAAACUUUUCUAAAAUCUAAAGCCUGGAUACCGAUACCCCCAGCCGUAGAGGUAUAGAGGAACCUACGAAGGACAGGUUGAAGAAAGUAAACCUCAGACAUGCAGCGAGGGAUACCCUACUGUUCUACACUGGACACCGGUGCCGGCAUAUAUGCCCUGUCUGCGCUAAACUGCCCGCACCUGCCAACGACGCAGGGUUCCGAACAGUGGAGACCAUCUCAGUGCACGGAGAAGGUUUCACUCUACAUGGCGACAAACACAACAGUUACUCAAGAAUACAAUUAAGAAGUGGAACAAAAUACCAGGUAAACUUCGCCAUGUCCACCCUGAGAUGCAGACUACAACAGGAAUUCACUGGCUAGCAUGAAACCUAGUCGUGGAAGGCUUGGGGUGUGCAUUCAUGUUUUGCAGCCAAGAAAAUUGAAAAACAAGCAUGGAAUGCAACAGCAUCAUGGAAGCAAAGAAAAUAAAAACUAA
Long non-coding RNA from Branchiostoma belcheri (Belcher's lancelet), 1646 nucleotides. RefSeq lists it as uncharacterized. The record is from RefSeq and is a predicted model, not a curated record. Lineage: Eukaryota; Metazoa; Chordata; Leptocardii; Amphioxiformes; Branchiostomatidae. The transcript has 4 exons.